UGGAGAAAAGCAGGGGAUCGUAAGACCUUGCGCUUUUGGAGCGGCCGAUGUCUGAUUAGCUAGUUGGUGGGGUAAUGGCCUACCAAAGCUUCGAUCAGUAGCUGGUCUGAGAGGACGGCCAGCCACACUGGGACUGAGACACGGCCCAGACUCCUACGGGAGGCAGCAGUGGGGAAUUUUGGACAAUGGGCGCAAGCCUGAUCCAGCCAUGCCGCGUGAGUGAAGAAGGCCUUCGGGUUGUAAAGCUCUUUCAGCCGGGAAGAAAAGGCUGCGAUUAAUAAUCGCAGUUCAUGACGGUACCGGAAGAAGAAGCACCGGCUAACUACGUGCCGGCAGCCGCGGUAAUACGUAGGGUGCGAGCGUUAAUCGGAAUUACUGGGCGUAAAGGGUGCGCAGGCGGUUUUGUAAGUCAGAUGUGA
This 419-nucleotide ribosomal RNA is filed under the name uncultured ammonia-oxidizing beta proteobacterium. RNAcentral describes it as "bacterial SSU rRNA". It matches the Rfam family "Bacterial small subunit ribosomal RNA", at positions 197 to 597 of the family's 1533-position model. Lineage: Bacteria; Pseudomonadati; Pseudomonadota; Betaproteobacteria. The record is from RNAcentral.